This 253-nucleotide ribosomal RNA is filed under the name uncultured bacterium. Its description in RNAcentral is "partial 16S ribosomal RNA". It matches the Rfam family "Bacterial small subunit ribosomal RNA", at positions 524 to 776 of the family's 1533-position model. The record is from RNAcentral.
UACGGGGGGGGCAAGCGUUGUUCGGAAUUACUGGGCGUAAAGCGCACGUAGGCGGCUUCUUAAGUCGGUGGUGAAAUCCUGGAGCUCAACUCCAGAACUGCCUUCGAUACUGGGAAGCUCGAGUCCGGGAGAGGUGAGUGGAACUGCGAGUGUAGAGGUGAAAUUCGUAGAUAUUCGCAAGAACACCAGUGGCGAAGGCGGCUCACUGGCCCGGUACUGACGCUGAGGUGCGAAAGCGUGGGGAGCAAACAGG